CUGGAGGUCUUAGCGGUGUUCGGCUAGUCGAGUGUCCGUUUUCAGUUCCAGACACUCGACGGCCAAACACCGCUGUUCGCGGAUUUAAGAUGGCGGCCGCCACGUGUUCGGCUGCCGAAAUGGCGGCAGGUUCGUGCGUACAAGGGAAUGAAAUGCAAGCAAGGAGGUAAAUAGAUCCAUUAUACACAUCAGGGUGGUCCAGUUCAUUCGGUACUUUGUUCGUAUGGGGAAUUUUGGUGGUUCACAUGUCAGCUGU
This is a non-coding RNA of Pelobates cultripes (western spadefoot toad), 256 nucleotides long. NCBI's taxonomy places the organism in Eukaryota, Metazoa, Chordata, Amphibia, Anura, Pelobatidae. The record is from the annotation of a GenBank genome assembly.